GGCGCACGGGUGCGUAACGCGUAUGCAAUCUACCUUGUACAGGGGGAUAGCCCAGAGAAAUUUGGAUUAAUACCCCAUAGUAUUAAGAGUUGGCAUCGACUUUUAAUUAAAGAUUUAUCGGUACAAGAUGAGCAUGCGUACUAUUAGCUAGUUGGAGUGGUAACGGCACACCAAGGCUACGAUAGUUAGGGGUCCUGAGAGGGAGAUCCCCCACACUGGUACUGAGACACGGACCAGACUCCUACGGGAGGCAGCAGUGAGGAAUAUUGGACAAUGGUGGGAACACUGAUCCAGCCAUGCCGCGUGCAGGAAGACUGCCCUAUGGGCUGUAAACUGCUUUUUUACGGGAAGAAACAUCCGCUCGUGAGCGGACUUGACGGUACCGUAGGAAUAAGGAUCGGCUAACUCCGUGCCAGCAGCCGCGGUAAUACGGAGGAUCCGAGCGUUAUCCGGAAUCAUUGGGUUUAAAGGGUCCGUAGGCGGGUUUGUAAGUCAGUGGUGAAAUCCGGCAGCUUAACUGUCGAACUGCCAUUGAUACUGCGAGUCUUGAAUUACUGUGAAGUGGUUAGAAUAUGUAGUGUAGCGGUGAAAUGCUUAGAUAUUACAUGGAAUACCAAUUGCGAAGGCAGAUCACUAACAGUAUAUUGACGCUGAGGGACGAAAGCGUGGGUAGCGAACAGGAUUAGAUACCCUGGUAGUCCACGCCGUAAACGAUGGAUACUAGCUGUUGGGCGUACGCUCAGUGGCUAAGCGAAAGUGAUAAGUAUCCCACCUGGGGAGUACGUUCGCAAGAAUGAAACUCAAAGGAAUUGACGGGGGCCCGCACAAGCGGUGGAGCAUGUGGUUUAAUUCGAUGAUACGCGAGGAACCUUACCAGGGCUUGAAUGUAGUCUGACAGGGGUGGAAACACUCUUUUCUUCGGACAGAUUACAAGGUGCUGCAUGGUUGUCGUCAGCUCGUGCCGUGAGGUGUCAGGUUAAGUCCUAUAACGAGCGCAACCCCUGUGGUUAGUUGCCAGCGAGUAAUGUCGGGAACUCUAGCCAGACUGCCGGUGCAAACCGUGA
This 1064-nucleotide ribosomal RNA is filed under the name uncultured bacterium. RNAcentral describes it as "bacterial SSU rRNA". It matches the Rfam family "Bacterial small subunit ribosomal RNA", at positions 97 to 1167 of the family's 1533-position model. The record is from RNAcentral.